RNAcentral lists this ribosomal RNA (361 nucleotides) under Citrobacter werkmanii. Its description in RNAcentral is "bacterial SSU rRNA". It matches the Rfam family "Bacterial small subunit ribosomal RNA", at positions 1153 to 1513 of the family's 1533-position model. The record is from RNAcentral. Lineage: Bacteria; Pseudomonadati; Pseudomonadota; Gammaproteobacteria; Enterobacterales; Enterobacteriaceae.
CAGUGAUAAACUGGAGGAAGGUGGGGAUGACGUCAAGUCAUCAUGGCCCUUACGAGUAGGGCUACACACGUGCUACAAUGGCAUAUACAAAGAGAAGCGACCUCGCGAGAGCAAGCGGACCUCAUAAAGUAUGUCGUAGUCCGGAUUGGAGUCUGCAACUCGACUCCAUGAAGUCGGAAUCGCUAGUAAUCGUGGAUCAGAAUGCCACGGUGAAUACGUUCCCGGGCCUUGUACACACCGCCCGUCACACCAUGGGAGUGGGUUGCAAAAGAAGUAGGUAGCUUAACCUUCGGGAGGGCGCUUACCACUUUGUGAUUCAUGACUGGGGUGAAGUCGUAACAAGGUAACCGUAGGGGAACCU